UAGAAAAAUCAGAAAAAGGAAGUACCCUAGACUUUCUUCUCGCAAUCAGAUGCUGACGCUCCAUGCUUUCCAAAUUUCCAUUUGAUUCGCUAGAGUAGAAGACGAAGGUGGAGUCAUUCGAUUCUUAGACCUCAUUCGUAUCUCCCACUCACGUUGUUCCCAAUUGCCGACCAUCGCUAGCCUGUACCUAUGAUUCGCUGGAGUAGAAGACGACGACCGAAGAAACCCAAGCCUCCAACUACGAGUCUUCAUCUUCAGUUUUUUGAAGCCACAAAAAGGAUGUCGGGAACUUUGUAUGUUUCGGCUAAGAUGCAUUAUCAUGAGAUAUUAGGUUUACUUGCUUCUUUGUUGGAGUGGACACAAGUUGAUGACAUCAAUAUUGUUCUUAUGGGUGUUCAAAUGAGAAAAAAGUUUGACAAGUAUUAUGGACAGUUUGGAAAAACAAAUGUGAUGGUGUUAGUUGCGGUUGCUCUUGAUCCAAGGUAUAAGAUGAGGUUUUUGAAGUUUUCUUUAAAAAAAUGUAUCCUUUAGAAUUUAAGAAGGUUGAAGAAUUAUAUGCUCAAGUGUUAGAGGUUUUGAACAAACUAUAUAGUUAUUAUUCUAAUGUUUCUUCAAUAACAAAGAAUGAUGGUUCUAGUUCUUUCAAUACGAAUGAUAGUGAUGGUCAAAAUUUUGUUGGUGUGGUUAAGAAUUAGCAAAUGAGAAAAAUAUAUGAUGAGUUCUUUGAAAAUGAUAUUGAAGAUGCUAUGGAAAAAUCUGAAUUGGACGAAUAUCAUGAUGCUCCACCUGAAAAAAUGAAUAAUCAAACAUUUGAAAAUUUGAAGUGGUGGAGUGAGAAAUGCACAACAUACAAGGUGUUGGCAUCAAUGGCGAAGGACAUUCUAGCUAUUCCGGUUUCUAUGUUUGCUAGUGAGUCCACUUUUAGUACGUCCGGUCAUGUGCUGAAUGACUUUCAUAGUACUUUGCUUCCAAAGACGGUGGAAGCUUUGAUUUGUACUCAAGAUUGGUUGAGGGCAUCACGUGUUUGUAUUGACCUUGAACAAUUAUUAGAAGAUGUGAAAAAAAUAUGAGGAAGAAAUCACUCACAGUAUGGAAGAUACACGUGGAGAGAAUAAGUGAAGUCGUUGAUGUUUUUAAUGUUUUGAUGUUAUUGUUUUUGCGGCUGUUGAUUGUUGUUUUGUUGUUGUGUUGCUGUUUUUGAUGUCGUUUUUGUUGUUUUGUUGUUGCCGUUUUGUUGUUUUGUUUUGCUGUUUUGCUGUUGAUGUUUAACUGUUUUUGUGCUGUUUUGAAACUUGCUGAAAAUUGUUUGCUGUUUUGCUGUUUUGAUGUUGCUGUUUUGGCUUUUGUUAUUGCUGACAAUUAUCAUUUUGUAACAAUACUUUCUAAAUUACCCUUGUGUUGGCAUGGUGUUUUAA
Molecule: non-coding RNA, 1415 nt
Organism: Lactuca sativa (garden lettuce)
Lineage: Eukaryota; Viridiplantae; Streptophyta; Magnoliopsida; Asterales; Asteraceae
Source: RefSeq, a predicted model, not a curated record